UUCUCUUCAUAUGGCCGGCCAAAGCAAGAACAAAGGAAGAAAAGGAAGAACAAAACCCUAGGUGGAAAAAUUCAAAGGAAAAGUGUGAAAAUUCAAGGAAACAAGUGAAAAAAAGGUAAGAUUUUUUAAUUAAGCUUGUGAUCUAUCUUUCUUAAGCACUUUUUCUUAUUUUCCAUGGUUGAAUCACAAGAUAUCAUGAAGGAUAGUGUGCUGAUCAAACCCUAGGAGAGAGAACUUGAUGAUGAUUUAGAUAGAUUUUUAAGAUAUAUGGAUGUUUUUAGUUGUUUAUGGUGUUAAGUGUAAGAAUUAAGCUUGAAAUUCACAUAUUCUUCAUGAGUUCAUCAUUGGCCGAAUUCUCCAUGUAGAAUAUUGAUGAUGAUUUUUAUUUUAUUUCAAGUGAUUUGGUUAGGAAUUAGUGAUUUAUGGUGUGAGAAUCAAGCUUGAAAAUUUAUAAUGUUGAUGCACCCACCAUGGCCGAAUUUUCCAAGAGAAAUGUGAGGAUGAUUUUGCCAUAUUUCAAGUUAUUUAAUUUGUGUUUGAUGAUUUGGAGUAUUGGGAGAAAAAUGGAAUUAUUUGGAGUUAAAUUGGCCAUAUUGGCCAAUUAAUCGAGUGAUAGAUCGAAUUAGGCCAACACCAUUUUAUUUAGGUACACAAUUAAAUUUGUGUAGAACACCAUGUUUAGACGAUAAUCUGAACAAUUUGCAUUCCAUUUCAUGCAUUAGUAUAGAGCCUGAAUUGGUUUUAUAACAAUUUAGCACAAAUGUAGUAAAUGGCUUAUUGUGCAUUAUGUCUAGGUGGUGAGCAUUCUGACAAAAGUAAAGAGAUAGUACCCGAGGAUCAAGAAUCUGAGUACUCGAAAUUCAACUCCCGAAAUAGUGAGUAACCUUACUAUCUUCUUAAUUGUCUAAAGUGGUUUUUAUCCGAUUUUGUGAUUUUAUGGAAAAUGAGUUUAAAUGGUACAUCUUUAUGUUUUAUAAGUAAAAUGUGAUUAAAUGAAAUGAUUUUAUAAAUUGUCUUGAAAUUGAAAGAUGAUUUUGAAAAUGGAGUAAUUGGAGACUAAUUGUUGUGUUAUAAAUCAUGGUUUGAAUUGAAUGGCUUAUGAUCAUAUUUGCAUGAAUGGCUGAAUUGGUAUGUGUUGAAAAUGUAUGAACUGUUAAUUUGCCUUGAGAGGCUGUAAAAUAAAAUAAUUGUCAUGUCAUGUUAUCGCAAAUUUUAUUGUAUGGUGGGUUAUAAAUUGGCCGCUACAGUGAACGGGUUCCGUGGACCAGCCUAUUAGAGGGGCACAGUAACCCUAUUAUAUUCAUACCUCAGUAUGAGAGGCGCGGUUGGAUAACUCCUAAGGUUAAAACUUUAGAGUUCACUUCACGCCAAACCACCACGUGAGGGUGAACUCAGCCAACGCCAAGGAACGGCUAUGUUUUCAAAAUAAAAACAUGAUUUAUGCGUACAUAACUUUUUAGCAGGCUUGGCAGACUCGGUUGGGAUAGCCCUCAGCCAAGGUAUCCCUGAUAAUUAAGUAUGAGAAUGAUUUUGGCACAAGCCAAAGUUUUAAGAAAUUCAUAAGCCAUGUUGAUUACUCGAUUUAUAUGAAUUGAUUUUAUUUGGUUGAAAUGAGUUGAAAGGUAUUGCAUUACAGUAUGUUAAACUAUUUUAUCUGUCUCCAUUUACUCAGCUUUAGAUAUUUUAGAUGGUAUUUGUUUACUCACUGAGAUUAUAUAAUCUCACCACCCUCAUUUCCACCCUUUUCAAGCUUAGGAUAGUCGGUGGAUAGCUCAUUUCGUUGAGGGUUACAGUUGGACUUGCAUCUUCAAAAACUAUAGGUUUACCGCUUUUGAUACUUUUGGUUGUUGGUGGGCCCACUUGUCACUGUAAAUUAAAUCUUAUGCUUUGGUUAUCUGUAUUACAGUAUGUAUGAAUUUAUUUAGCUUUUACGCUACAAAAAUUAUUUACUAGUAACUCUAUA
Molecule: long non-coding RNA, 1963 nt
Filed under: Theobroma cacao (cacao)
Lineage: Eukaryota; Viridiplantae; Streptophyta; Magnoliopsida; Malvales; Malvaceae
Description: long non-coding RNA (TCAC_LNC001115)
Source: RNAcentral